GAUAUAAUCUGGGUGAUAAUCAGUGUAAACGAGAGUGGUUUGUUAGGAGUAACACAGCAGUUAUCUGAGCUUGGACACGAGUCAACACUAUCUCCUAUCAAACAAAAUGAACAUAGACCAUCAGGAUUCAACCCAUUUUCAUAUAUAGAGAUUCCUCCUGUACCUUUUAACAGUCCAGUUAAACCUUUAGAUCAAGAGGUCAGAAAUGGUAGGAGAAACUCACAUGACAACACAGAGGUAAAGUUAAUACAUCUUCUUUAAGCCUGUUUGUGCACAGCUAACCGGGACCUGAAAGUCUAUUUUAGGCUUUGCCAUGGCAUCUGUUUUGAACCUCGGGAGAAGGCCUAGUGAAAUUCGUGAACUUGGUCUUACGCCUGUAUUCUAAAAGGUCACACACACUCAAUGAGUGGAGGUUCAACAUGAGCUUCUCUUGCGUGUCGAUGCUGUUUUUGAAUAGCUGGAGGAUUAGUAGUCACUUAGUAAGGUAUGAAACUAGCCCUCCAGCUAUUCAAAAACAGCACUCACACUCAAGAAAAGCUCAGAUUGAACUUCCACUCAUGGAGUGUGAGUGAGCUUUUAGAACACGGGCGUUAGUCCUUAAUUCAUAAAGUAACCUUACCUGAACGGCCAGUACUUGUAUUUCCUUCCAGACCGAAACAUCUUCAUUGUUUGUCCCAAUGACAUCAAGUUAUAGAAAAAUAUCAAUGUGAAUAUGUAGAACCUAGGGCCGCUCGAAGGGCAAGAAUGGUUACAAGAGGGGCUGAUUUGUGAAUUGUUCUAGGCCUUCUCACUUCUCGUCCCCUUUAAAGUCAGGCUGCACGCAGGCUACCCGUCUCUCCCCAGCCUACCAUCGCGAAAGGCAGGAAUUAGGUUGAGAUCAUCCAUGAUUAAUUUUAAUGAAUAAUUAAAUUUAACAAAUCCUUAACAAAUCUCAUGGCUCGAAAUAACGUUUCCAAUGUUCCCGAUCAUGGUGAUCAGCAGUCAUGAUUUUCUGCUGAUCAAAUGAAAAUCUGUCCGAUCAGUAUGGGAUACGUUCUGUUUAUAUGUUCUGUGAUAAAUGAUAAUGCCAUAGUAUUGCAUACUGUUCGUUAACGACAUUAACCAUGUUUUUGAGACAUUGGUUCUUACCGAUCAAGAUGAUCGGCAACCUUGUUUCUCUGCCGAUCAAUAUCAAUUUCCUGCCGAUCAUUGUUCGUUGAUCGGUCGUUAUUUCAUGCCCUGGAAUCUUAACAAAUCUUUUAUUUUCAGCAUACCAACAGUAGUUCCACUUCAAAAGAUUGUCAAUGACGACUAAUAUAUAGGUCUCUCGACCUGUCAAGACCCUGUGCAAGGUGGAUUUAUCUGCAAGGAUCACAUGGAUGCCUCACCAGGAGUGUUGGACCCUCUCGAGUGACCAUAAUCGACUGUAGUUGAUCUGCUGUGCGUAAAGUGCUUCGAUCUACCAACAGGAUUGUUCCAGGAAAAGUUUGUCUUCAUUUUUUAUAAAGUACCGUAACUCUAUAGUUAAACAUGCUAGAAUUGCUUUUGUUUUCACGGAAACACCUAUACUGUAAUAAUAUUUGGCAAUGGUUUCGGAGACUUCUCUAAGCUGUGUUUACAAGACUAGGCCUGACCAGUUGUUCACUUAGUUAAUAAGCGUCAGGUCCUAAUAACUAGCUGUCAGUCACUUGACUCCAUAAGAAUUUUCGUAAAAAAAUUAAAACAGAAAGACGUGUGUAGACUGCAGUUUUAACCUACAUGGCUUAAGAAGUGGACACCGCUGUCGAUGCACCAGUACCCCAACUAUAGAAGUGUGACUUAAUUUGCGUCCCAAAUAUUAUUACAAUUUUAUAAUGCACCUGUUCAUGUUCGACCAAGAAUAUUGGUAAUUCAUAGGAUUAGAGCACAAUAAUUGUGAGAUAAACUAUAAAAUUAUGAGAUUGAUUUCUUGUUAAAACUUCUCAAAAAAUAGCGUUUCUAAGCAUAAUCAAAACUUUUCUGGGAAAGCAUGACCCCGAGACCCUCCUGGAAGUUUCUCGCGCUGCUCGACUGCGAUUUUAAUUAUCUCGUUAUUCACCACACUCGUAAAGUCUCACAGCAUGUUAACACGAUUUGUUCAGACUGCUUGUUCUCAAUUAUUGAUAAGUCUGAGACAAGUUGUUAUCAUCUUGCAACAAGCUUGAUGAGGCCAACAGACUCGUAACUAGUUGUUAUACGUGCGGACAGCCUGUGAACAGGCUGUAUCAGUCUGUACUAAUUGACUUGCAGCAAGUCUGUUACCGUCGUCAACCUUUUAAUAUUAAGGUGAUAAUAACUUGUUCCAGACUUUUCACAACAACGUGGAACAAGAUUUGCGAACACAUCCUAUUAUCGGCUUGAAAACAACCUUUUCACAACUUGUCUGCAGAUCUGUAAUGCGCGUUUUUUUCCUGUGUAGUUUAAAUGCACAUGUGUUUUUCUCCCUACUCUACUAACUUCCCCACGAAAGAUCGUCGCUCCAAUGGACCUAUUACCUAAUGAACAAAAUUUUGAUCUAGACAAAAAUUUCAUCACAGCGUGAAAGAGCAUCACUAAAUUAGUGAUAUUCCGAAAUUGCGCGUUGCGAAAUGUUGUAAAAUGCGGACAAUAUAGUCCUGCGAAAUUUGCCGUUUUUCAGUCAUUUUGUAUUACGCAUGGAAAAUUGAUACCACUUUCUGAAAAAAAGGUAUCAAUUUCCCGUGCGUAAUACAAAAUGGCUAAAAAACGGUAAACUUCGCAGGGCUAUAUUAUCCGCAUUUUACAACAUUUCGCAACGAAGCCUCGGAAUAUAACUAAUUUUGUGAUGCUCUUUCAAGCUGUGAUGAAAUUUUUGUCUAGACUUGUCUAGAUCAAAAUUUUGUUCAUUAUGUAAUAGGUCCAAUGACGUCGAAGUUCAUGAAGAUGUUCGUAAUUAUUUCCUAUUCUUCACUACAUCCACUGGCACACAACGUUCGCGAUAUUCUUGAAAUUAGACCACCAUGCUUUUAGCCUUGUAUUGUAAACACAGCUUUUAUGAAAACAUCAAUAACGUUCCAAAUUGAAAAGUGUGGUCUUUUCCGCAAAAUCAAAAUAACAGAAGGAGCUCUAACUUAUAAUAAUAUUCUACCUAACGUGAUAAAUUUUGCUUAGCCAUUCGUGGUUUACUUUCAUGAUAGCAGUCUUAUGACUAAUGACAAGUGACUACACCAGCAAUUUUUGCUGCAACUUGCAAUGCAAUUUCGAACACACAGCCAUGUUAUCUAAAAAGUAGUCGCAAGGAAUUAUCCAGCGUUGGCCAAUACAUUCCACUCUCCUUCCACUUUGUUUACAUAACAUACUCAUGGGGAUGAAUUACCAAAAAAAAUGAAUGAAAAAUUUUAGCAAAUUUUUAGCAUAGAAAAAUUUUGCAAUACAGGGUGUCCCAAAAAAAAGUGACACUAUAGAAAUUAUCCUAUUGUUAUAAUUUGAAUGCCUUAGCACUAAGUUAAUCUCACAGGUGAUAAACUUCUGCUUCUGGAAUUUAAAAUAAAAAAGCAAACCGUUUAUUAGUGUAAUCGUUUUGCUUGACUCGGGUGUUAAAAUAUUUGGACAAAGCAAAAACGUUUUAAAAUGCUUAAAUGUAAAUACAAGUUCAUUAAAUUCCCAGGCGUGUAAUCACGCGCGUUUAAGAGCGGCUUAAGAACUGAUGAGAUAAUUUCUAUAGUGUCACUUUUUUUUGGGACAUCCUGUACAUUUGCAUUCUACUCUGAAGAUUCCUAUAGGGGAUGAAAUAACAAAGAAAUGGAAUGAAAAAGUUUGGCAUAAUAAACCGUGGACUAUUCUCACAAUUUCCCCUCCACUGCGUUGUAAAUGACAUUGUUCGAUGUCAGAAACUGCGUUGCAAGUUACAACAAGAAUUGGCUCGUGUGUAUAUGACUUUUAAACAUAGGUUCUUGGUAUUACUGUUGCUUAAGGAGUACAAACAUGCCAUAAUGUUCUCAAGUUCGUUACUUUUUAUAUAAUUUAUUUUACAUCUUUUAUUUAAAAGUGGAAAACCUAUUGGAUCAGUGUUGAGUAAUAAUAAAAGUAUAGGUUAAUAGUAGAAGAAUAAUAUAAUUAUAUUAGGUGAUUAUAUACGCCUUUUCGGGGUUUGCGACACCAUCUUGCCAAGUUUAGCAAACACAAUAGAAUAACAAUACCAUGUAUGACCUUAGGGACAAGUAUGGCCACAGUUGGGACGAGGCACAGGUUUUACUAUUGUGUUUACCCCACUUGGCAAACUGAUGUCGCGGACCCCGAAAAAACGUAUUAAGGUCCAGACACACCGGACGCGAUUCGACAACGCGACUCGAUUUUUUAGUUUUUGAAAGUUAAUAAAACAGUCAAUGAGAGCAAAUUUCGAAAGAUAUGUAGACCAAAUGACUCAAAAUGUCAUAGCGCUUCUAAAUAUUUGGAAAAUUUACACUAGAAUCAAAGUUAUCGGACAGUGAAAAUCGAAAAAUCGCAUCGCGUUGUCGAAUCGCGUCCGGUGUGUCUGGACAGGCUCAUUUCAGACGGAGUACUUUUCAUGUGCCGAAUCCCCUUGACGAACUGGAUUCGACAGAAGAUCGACUUCUGAGCAUUGAAAUGAAUAUAACUGGAACGCUACCUCCAACCGGAAAUUUGAAGGCAAACUUGAAGGCCAGUCCCAGUCUUUUCAUGCAUGCGAAGAGCACUCGAUCAGUCAAUCAUCAUAUAAACACGCAAGUCUUCACGUCAGACUUUGACUGCAAGAAUAAUAUAGGCAGUAUAUCUGAAGGUAACGUUCCAGUUGUAUUCAUUUCAAUGCAUAUGAAUGAAUGUACGGCAGAAUUUGGAGCGGCAAAAGUUGGGCAGAACCUGUCGCAUUAUGCAAUGUUAGAACAUUGCUUAGUACGCCGCUCCAUUCAUCUGCCAAAACUAACUCAACUUUUUAAAAUGUGUUUGUAUUAGAUUAGCCAUCUUGUAUUUAAAUUAGACGUAUUUGUUUUUAAUUUUAAAUAGGAUUUGCUCGCGAAUGCGCCCAGCCUUGUCAAUAACAUAUUUUGUACCUAACGCGUUUUGAAUUACCGCAGUUCUUCAGUGUCGCAUCUAAUUAAUGCAAUCAAGUUCCGCACAUGAAGAGCACGUCGUCUGAAACGGGCGUCAGACUAUGGUCGUUAUAUAUAGAAUGUAAUGUGUUGUUCAAUUUAUUCUAGAAAUAAAAUUUCUAACCAUGGAAUCGUGCAAUUAGUAUCACAGAUUCUAACCAUGGAAUCGUGCAAUUAGUGUCACAGGAGUUAUUUUUACUCUGCGAGUGAUUUUUGAAAAAUGUGCUAAAAUUGUACCAGGCGCCGAGGCAAGCAAGUGCAAUUUCGCACAUCUUUCAAAAAUCACGAGUAGUUUUAAUAAUUAAUGCACGACUUGCCCGUGUGAUUAUCUAUUGUAUACAUGACAAAAGUAUAGCUGCACUCGGUAUUGGUGUCACGUGAAUGCAAACAACAUUCACAAACACAUUUUAUAAUUGUAACCCGGGCUGGCCAGGAUGAUCGGGAUGAUUUACUUAAUUUAAUAAAGCUUUUAUCACAGC
Molecule: non-coding RNA, 5542 nt
Organism: Paramuricea clavata
Lineage: Eukaryota; Metazoa; Cnidaria; Anthozoa; Malacalcyonacea; Plexauridae
Source: the annotation of a GenBank genome assembly